UAUCUCUGUAGAGUCUGCAUAUCAAUAAGCGGAGGAAAAGAAACUAACAAGGAUUCCCCUAGUAACGGCGAGUGGAGCGGGAAGAGCUCAAAUUUGAAAUCUUCAAGGUUCCACCUUGACGAAUUGUAGUUUAAAGAAGUGUUUUCGGUUAGAGGAGUAGUAAAAGUUCUUUGGAAUAGGACAUCAUAGAGGGUGAGAAUCCCGUAUUUGGUCAUUCCUUCUAGCUUUGUGAUACACUUUCAAAGAGUCGGAUUGUUUGGGAAUGCAGUCCAAAAUGGGUGGUAAAUUUCAUCUAAAGCUAAAUAUUGGCGAGAGACCGAUAGCGAACAAGUACCGUGAGGGAAAGAUGAAAAGAACUUUGAAAAGAGAGUUAAACAGUACGUGAAAUUGUCAAAAGGGAAGCGUUUGACACCAGUGUUGUUUUUCCGAAAAUCAAUUAAAAAUUGAUUCAUGCCAGGUUGUAUUGACCUUAUCAGCUUGCAAUUUGGUUUUGGGUCUCUUUUUGAUGCACUUUUCGGUUAACAAGUCAACAUCAAUUUCCUUUGCUGUAAAAAGGUAAGAGGAAGGUGGCUUCAAUUUCGGUUGAAGUGUUUAUAGCCUUUUAUCUCUGCAGUCGGGGAGAUUGAGGUCUGCAGCGUAGAUCCUUCGGGGCUAGAUACAUUUAUGCUAAGUUAUAGCUUUUCAUAGACAACUUGUUGACUAUGUUUAGUCAUGUAGCUUACUCGUAAGUGCUAUUUUACCUACGCUUAGGAUGUUGAGCGCAUGUCUCUCUCU
Molecule: ribosomal RNA, 774 nt
Filed under: uncultured Neocallimastigales
Lineage: Eukaryota; Fungi; Neocallimastigomycota; Neocallimastigomycetes; Neocallimastigales
Description: partial large subunit ribosomal RNA
Rfam family: Eukaryotic large subunit ribosomal RNA
Source: RNAcentral